Small nuclear RNA from Budorcas taxicolor (takin), 105 nucleotides. NCBI's taxonomy places the organism in Eukaryota, Metazoa, Chordata, Mammalia, Artiodactyla, Bovidae. The record is from RefSeq and is a predicted model, not a curated record.
GUGCUCGCUUUGGCAGCACAUAUACUAAAAUUAUCAACGAUAUAGAGAUUAGCAUGGCCCCUGUGCAAGGAUGACAGGAAAAUUCGUGAAGCGUUCUGUAUUUUU